RNAcentral lists this ribosomal RNA (253 nucleotides) under uncultured bacterium. RNAcentral describes it as "partial 16S ribosomal RNA". It matches the Rfam family "Bacterial small subunit ribosomal RNA", at positions 524 to 776 of the family's 1533-position model. The record is from RNAcentral.
UACGAAGGGGGCUAGCGUUGCUCGGAAUUACUGGGCGUAAAGCGCACGUAGGCGGCUUUCUAAGUCGGGGGUGAAAUCCUGGAGCUCAACUCCAGAACUGCCUUCGAUACUGGAAAGCUCGAGUCCGGGAGAGGUGAGUGGAACUGCGAGUGUAGAGGUGAAAUUCGUAGAUAUUCGCAAGAACACCAGUGGCGAAGGCGGCUCACUGGCCCGGUACUGACGCUGAGGUGCGAAAGCGUGGGGAGCGAACAGG